Cucumis sativus (cucumber) is the source of this 2284-nucleotide RNA transcript. It is a transcript of the gene named pentatricopeptide repeat-containing protein At3g22470, mitochondrial, with no coding region annotated. Lineage: Eukaryota; Viridiplantae; Streptophyta; Magnoliopsida; Cucurbitales; Cucurbitaceae. The transcript is spliced from 3 exons. The record is from RefSeq and is a predicted model, not a curated record.
UUGUGGGAAAACCCCAAGGAGUAAGAAGGUCUCGUCUCAAAAAUGCAUUCCAAGACCCUCCUCCCUUCCGCUUCUUUCAAACCCAACCUCUCCCCUCUAUGUACUCUCUCUUCCACUAUUCCAUCUUCAAUUCCCCAAACUUCCUCUACUAAUCAUCCUAAUACUGUAUUACCUGCUGCUUUCAAUCGCAAAGGGAUUUCGUUUCAUCACCCUCUUUCAUUGUUCCUCCGCAAUUGCAAGACAGGUAACAUUACUGCAACUCAAGCAUUUCAUUUCUUUGACCUAAUGUUGCGUUCAUAUCCUAUCCCCCCCAUUUCUUCUUUCAAUUGCUUACUUGGUGGCCUUGCUAAGAUUAACCAUUACUCCCAACUAUUUUCUCUCUAUAAUAAAAUGCGCCUUGCUGGACUUUCCCCUGAUCUCUUCACACUCAGUAUAUUGGCGAAUUGCCUUUGUAAUGUCAAUCGGGUUAGUGAAGCUCUUGCCGCCAUGGCGGGGAUUUUAAGGAGAGGUUAUAUUCCUAAUGUAGUCACAUAUAACACCUUGAUUAAGGGAUUGUGUAUGGAGCAUAGGAUUAGUGAAGCCACACGGUUCUUUCUGAGAAUGCAAAAGUUAGGUUGUACGCCCAAUGUGGUUACUUAUGGGACUUUGAUCAAGGGGCUAUGUCGAACCGGGAAUAUUAACAUGGCACUGAAGUUGUAUCAAGAAAUGCUCAACUACGCUAGUCAUUAUGGAAUUAAUUGUAAGCCUGAUGUUAUUACCUAUAGUAUCAUCAUAGAUGGGCUUUGUAAGGUUGGACGUGAUGACGAGGCAAAGGAACUUUUUGAGAAAAUGAAAGCUCAAGGAAUGAUUCCCAAUGUCAUUUCAUAUAGCUCCUUGAUUCAUGGAUUAUGUUGUGCUGGAAAGUGGGAGGAGUCUAAACGUUUGUUCGAUGAGAUGUGGGAUGAAGGUGUUCAACCAGAUAAGGUCACAUUUAAUGUGUUGAUUCAUACGCUUUCCAAGGAAGGAAAGGUUAGUGAGGCUAAGAAGUUGCUUGAGGUCAUGAUUCAAAGGGGUAUCGUUCCUGAUUUGGUUACUUAUAAUUCAGUGAUUCAUGCGUUUUGUAAGGUUGGUCAUUUGGAUAGUGCCAGAGAACUUUUUCUUAGUAUGCCAAGCAAAGGAUGUAAACAUGAUGAGAUCAGCUACAAUAUACUAAUUAACGGGUAUUGUAAAACUUCGAAGGUAGAAGAAGCAAUGAACCUUUACAAUGAAAUGCUUCAAGUGGGAAAGAGACCAAAUGCGACAACAUAUGGUACCUUGUUAACAGGACUUUUUCAAACAGGCAAGGUUGGUGAUGCAAAGAAGCUAUUUCGUGUCUUGAAAACUUAUGGUAUUUCGGCAGAUUCAUGUAUAUACCGUAUUUUCUUAGAUGGGCUGUGUAAGAAUGGCUGUUUAUAUGAAGCGAUGGAACAUUUUAAUCAGCUAAAAUCAUACAACAUCAAAUUGGACAUUGAAAGCUAUAAUUGUCUAAUUGAUGGCCUAUGUAAGGCAGGAAAACUUGAAACUGCUUGGGAGCUUUUUGAAAAACUAUACCAAGAAGGGCUUCAAUCAGAUGUUGUCACUUAUAACAUUAUGAUCCAUGGGUUUUGUAAAGUGGGACAAGUAGAUAAGGCAAAUAUUUUGUUUGAAAAGAUGGAAGAAAAUGGUUGUACUCCUGACAUAAUAACUUAUAAUACCCUUUUGUGUGGUUUUUGCCAGAGUAAUAAAUCAGACGAGGUGGUUAAACUUCUCCAUAAGAUGAUUCAAAGGGAUAUGUCACCAGAUGCUAUCAGUUGCAACAUAGUCAUUGACAUGCUCCGCAAAGAUGAAAAAUAUCAAGAAUGUCUAGACUUGCUUCCAAGAUUUCUAGUCCAAGAGCGUCGACGUUUAUAAUAGAAUAACACUCACUGAGGGAUUUCGUUUCAACACCGUCUUUCAUCGUUCCUACGCAAUUGCAAGACAGGCCAAAUGAUGUCUCCCCUUUUACUCUAGGCAAUAGAGGCCUAAUGGUAAAUGGAGUUUCUUGAUAGUUUAAGGUCAACGGGUAUGAAAAUUAGCUAAGGCAUAGUAAGACAGGACGUAAGGGAAAGAAACUCAUUGUGUACGUUUAAAAGUUAACUUGUAGCACAUCUCCACUUGAAUUCUUGAUGAUUAUUUUCAUAGUAUAAACUGGAUUAUAUACUCUAGACUUCCUAUCACCCGUUUGAAAAAGAAAUUGGAGAAAUACAAAUGAUGUUCAGAGAAAUAUAAAUUAUUUAAUGUUCACGUU